UGAGUAACGCGUGGGUAACCUGCCCUUAAGUCUGGGAUACCAUUUGGAAACAGAUGCUAAUACCGGAUAAAAGCUACUUUCGCAUGAAAGAAGUUUAAAAGGCGGCGUAAGCUGUCGCUAAAGGAUGGACCUGCGAUGCAUUAGCUAGUUGGUAAGGUAACGGCUUACCAAGGCGAUGAUGCAUAGCCGAGUUGAGAGACUGAUCGGCCACAUUGGGACUGAGACACGGCCCAAACUGCGUACGGGAGGCAGCAGGG
This 257-nucleotide ribosomal RNA is filed under the name uncultured Lactobacillus sp. RNAcentral's name for it is "partial 16S ribosomal RNA". It matches the Rfam family "Bacterial small subunit ribosomal RNA", at positions 107 to 354 of the family's 1533-position model. Lineage: Bacteria; Bacillati; Bacillota; Bacilli; Lactobacillales; Lactobacillaceae. The record is from RNAcentral.